CAAUAGCGUAUAUUUAAGUUGUUGCAGUUAAAAAGCUCGUAGUUGGAUUUCGGAUGGGACUUGCCGGUCCGUCGUUUCGAUGUGCACUGGCCAGUCCUAUCUUGUUGUCGGGGACUAGCUCCUGGGCUUCACUGUCCGGGACUAGGAGCUGACGAGGUUACUUUGAGUAAAUUAGAGUGUUCAAAGCAAGCCUACGCUCUGAAUACAUUAGCAUGGAAUAACACGAUAGGACUCUGGCUUAUCUUGUUGGUCUGUGAGACCAGAGUAAUGAUUAAGAGGGACAGUCGGGGGCAUUCGUAUUUCAUUGUCAGAGGUGAAAUUCUUGGAUUUAUGAAAGACGAGCUUCUGCGAAAGCAUUUGUCAAGGAUGUUUNCAUUAA
This 379-nucleotide ribosomal RNA is filed under the name uncultured eukaryote. Its description in RNAcentral is "partial 18S ribosomal RNA". It matches the Rfam family "Eukaryotic small subunit ribosomal RNA", at positions 592 to 976 of the family's 1831-position model. The record is from RNAcentral.